This 489-nucleotide ribosomal RNA is filed under the name uncultured bacterium. Its description in RNAcentral is "partial 16S ribosomal RNA". It matches the Rfam family "Bacterial small subunit ribosomal RNA", at positions 28 to 507 of the family's 1533-position model. The record is from RNAcentral.
GAUGAACGCUAGCUACAGGCUUAACACAUGCAAGUCGAGGGGCAGCAUGAUUGAAGCUUGCUUCAAUCGAUGGCGACCGGCGCACGGGUGAGUAACACGUAUCCAACCUGCCGAUAACUCGGGGAUAGCCUUUCGAAAGAAAGAUUAAUACCCGAUAGUAUAGUAUUUCCGCAUGGUUUCACUAUUAAAGAACUUCGGUUAUCGAUGGGGAUGCGUUCCAUUAGAUAGUUGGCGGGGUAACGGCCCACCAAGUCAACGAUGGAUAGGGGUUCUGAGAGGAAGGUCCCCCACAUUGGAUCUGAGACACGGUCCAAACUCCUACGGGAGGCAGCAGUGAGGAAUAUUGGUCAAUGGACGAGAGUCUGAACCAGCCAAGUAGCGUGAAGGAUGACUGCCCUAUGGGUUGUAAACUUCUUUUAGACGGGAAUAAAGUGGAGUAUGCAUACUCCUUUGUAUGUACCGUAUGAAUAAGGAUCGGCUAACUCCGUG